ACAGAUCGCUGAGAUUCCUUCGGGAUGAUCUUGAUGCUGACGAGCGGCGGACGGGUGAGUAACGCGUAGGAAUCUACCCAGUAGCGGGGGAUAGCUCGAGGAAACUCGAAUUAAUACCGCAUACGCCCUAAGGGGGAAAGCAGGGGAUCUUUGGACCUUGCACUAUUGGAUGAGCCUGCGUUGGAUUAGCUAGUUGGUGGGGUAAAGGCCUACCAAGGCGACGAUCCGUAGCUGGUCUGAGAGGACGAUC
This 250-nucleotide ribosomal RNA is filed under the name uncultured bacterium. RNAcentral describes it as "partial 16S ribosomal RNA". The stretch from base 49 to 250 matches the Rfam family "Bacterial small subunit ribosomal RNA", at positions 100 to 305 of the family's 1533-position model. The record is from RNAcentral.